This 538-nucleotide long non-coding RNA is filed under the name Marmota monax (woodchuck). The record is from RNAcentral. Lineage: Eukaryota; Metazoa; Chordata; Mammalia; Rodentia; Sciuridae.
GAAAAGUCAUGUGUUUUUUGCCCUUAAAUUCUUGAUUCAGUCUUAGUUUUCUUCUGCCCAUGUGUCAUCCUGGAAGUUGAUUACUUUUAACCUUCUGUUCUGUCAUAUUCCUUUUUACCUGAAUCAUUUGUUUUCCUUUGUUUUACUAUUUACUACACAUACACUGGAAAUGCAUGCCCACAGUAGCUUCUUGAGAAGAGAGUGCAUGAGGAUUACAGUUUUUGAAACCAUGCCUUUCUAAAAAUUUGUAUUUUGCUAUCACAUUUGUUUGGGCACCAAAGUUUAGACUGGGAACGAUUUAUUUUCUAUAGCAAAGAUAAAGCCCUCUGCUGAAAUAGGAGCAAGGUAACCAUCUGCCUGUUUGGGGUUAUUAUACAAAAUGGGAUAGAAAGUGGCCGUAUACUUCUUAUAUAGACUUUAAAACAAAUUCUUGUUUAUUAAGAAUCUGAUGCCUUUGGUUUCUGAACUUCUUCAGAGUUCUGUAAAUUGGCUUAUUUCUUUUAGUGGGAUUUCAUUGAUGAUUGGAGAUAAAUGUGUG